AUACGGAGGAUCCGAGCGUUAUCCGGAUUUAUUGGGUUUAAAGGGCGCGCAGGCGGCCAUUUAAGUCAGCGGUUAAAUCGUGGGGCUCAACCCCAUUCUGCCGUUGAUACUGGGUGGCUUGAUUGCGGUCGAGGUUGGCGGAAUUCGUUGUGUAGCGGUGAAAUGCAUAGAUAUGACGAAGAACACCGAUUGCGUAGGCAGCUGACCAGAUCGCAAAUGACGCUCAUGCACGAAAGUGCGGGGAUCGAACAGGAUUAGAUACCCUGGUAGUCCGCACAGUAAACGAUGAAUACUUGUUUUCGGCGAUAUAAUGUCGGAGGCAAGGCGAAAGCGAUAAGUAUUCCACCUGGGGAGUACGCCGGCAACGGUGAAACUCAAAUGAAUUGACGGGG
This 392-nucleotide ribosomal RNA is filed under the name uncultured bacterium. RNAcentral describes it as "partial 16S ribosomal RNA". It matches the Rfam family "Bacterial small subunit ribosomal RNA", at positions 523 to 918 of the family's 1533-position model. The record is from RNAcentral.